CGGGGUGUGGCUCAGUUGGUAGAGUGCUGCGUUCGGGACGCAGAGGUCGUGAGUUCGAAUCUCGCCACCCCGA
RNAcentral lists this transfer RNA (73 nucleotides) under Chlorobiales bacterium. It matches the Rfam family "tRNA". Rfam says of the family: Transfer RNA (tRNA) molecules are approximately 80 nucleotides in length. Their secondary structure includes four short double-helical elements and three loops (D, anti-codon, and T loops). Further hydrogen bonds mediate the characteristic L-shaped molecular structure. tRNAs have two regions of fundamental functional importance: the anti-codon, which is responsible for specific mRNA codon recognition, and the 3' end, to which the tRNAs corresponding amino acid is attached (by aminoacyl-tRNA synthetases). tRNAs cope with the degeneracy of the genetic code in two manners: having more than one tRNA (with a specific anti-codon) for a particular amino acid; and 'wobble' base-pairing, i.e. permitting non-standard base-pairing at the 3rd anti-codon position. The record is from Rfam by way of RNAcentral. Lineage: Bacteria; Pseudomonadati; Chlorobiota; Chlorobiia; Chlorobiales.